UGAGUGGCAUUAACUAAAUAAGUUAAAACUUUCAACAACGGAUCUCUUGGCUCUAGCAUCGAUGAAGAACGCAGCGAAAUGCGAUAAGUAAUGUGAAUUGCAGAAUUCAGUGAAUCAUCGAAUCUUUGAACGCACAUUGCGCCUGGCAGUAUUCUGCCAGGCAUGCCUGUCCGAGCGUCAUUUCACCACUCAAGCUCUGCUUGGUGUUGGAGGACCCGCGUUUAGUCGCGGGCCGCCGAAAUGCAUCGGCUGUUGUAUAUACAGCUUCCCUGUGUAGUAAAUGCUUAGCUUUACACUUUGAAACUUUUAUAUAACAUGCCGAAAAAC
RNAcentral lists this unclassified non-coding RNA (327 nucleotides) under uncultured Thielaviopsis. Its description in RNAcentral is "sequence contains ITS1, 5.8S rRNA gene, ITS2". The stretch from base 27 to 180 matches the Rfam family "5.8S ribosomal RNA". The record is from RNAcentral. Lineage: Eukaryota; Fungi; Ascomycota; Sordariomycetes; Microascales; Microascaceae.